RNAcentral lists this ribosomal RNA (324 nucleotides) under uncultured soil bacterium. RNAcentral describes it as "bacterial SSU rRNA". It matches the Rfam family "Bacterial small subunit ribosomal RNA", at positions 26 to 351 of the family's 1533-position model. The record is from RNAcentral.
AGAUUGGACGCUGGCGGCAUGCUUUACACAUGCAAGUCGAACGGUAACGCGGGGGCAACCCUGGCGACGAGUGGCGAACGGGUGAGUAAUACAUCGGAACAUGUCCUGGAGUGGGGGAUAGCUCGGCGAAAGCCGGAUUAAUACCGCAUACGCUCUGAGGAGGAAAGCGGGGGACUCGUAAGGGCCUCGCGCUGCGGGAGUGGCCGAUGUCGGAUUAGCUAGUUGGUGAGGUAAAGGCUCACCAAGGCGACGAUCCGUAGCUGGUCUGAGAGGAUGAUCAGCCACACUGGGACUGAGACACGGCCCAGACUCCUACGGGAGCAG